This 422-nucleotide ribosomal RNA is filed under the name uncultured bacterium. Its description in RNAcentral is "partial 16S ribosomal RNA". It matches the Rfam family "Bacterial small subunit ribosomal RNA", at positions 360 to 774 of the family's 1533-position model. The record is from RNAcentral.
AAUCUUCCACAAUGGACGGAAGUCUGAUGGAGCAAUGCCGCGUGAACGAAGAGGGUUUUCGGAUCGAAAAGAUCUGUUGUGAGGGAAGAACAAAUAAGAGAGUAACUGCUCGUAUCUUGACGGUACCUCAUUAGAAAGCCACGGAUCACUAAGUGCACGCAGCCGAGGUAAUAAGUAGGUGGCAAGCGUUGUCCGGAAUUAUUGGGCGUAAAGCCAGCGCAGGCAGCCUUUUAAGUCUGAUGUGAAAACCCACGGCUCAACCGUGGAAGGUCAUUGGAAACUGGAAGGCUUGAGUACAGAAGAGGAAAGCGGAAUUCCACGUGUAGCGGUGAAAUGCGUAGAGAUGUGGAGGAACACCAGUGGCGAAGGCGGCUUUCUAGUCUGUAACUGACGCUGAGGCGCGAAAGCGUGGGGAGCAAACA